This 469-nucleotide long non-coding RNA is filed under the name Mytilus galloprovincialis (Mediterranean mussel). Lineage: Eukaryota; Metazoa; Mollusca; Bivalvia; Mytilida; Mytilidae. The record is from RNAcentral.
AACGAAACAUUAAGAAAUUAUUAACAAGUAUGACCAAAUGCAGGUAUUAGAAGGGGUCCACCUUUUUAUCAAUACAUUUAAUGAAUAAACACGCUUUUAAAAACUGAUUGUUUUCUCUGUAACUAUUUAGACAUUUACAAAUAUAUAAUCUACGUUCGAAUUUCAACUGAGAAUAGCAAAACAGUUAACUUAUAAAAUUAAUUAAGUAUAUCGCUGGAGUUUAUAAAGUACAUAUCUUUCCACUGUGCAAUGGUUUGCCAUCUCUAUUUUUCUCUAAACAAAGUAUGGUUGGUUACAUGUUCUGAAUUUACUUAGAAUUUCGGGAUUUUUUCUCAAAAUUAAGUAAACUGAAUUACCAAAAAAAAAAUCACACUAUUUUUAGACGAAUACCUAAAACUUGCGAAAGAUAUAAAAAGGCAGGAUGAGCAACUUGGCAAAAAGGCCGAAUAACGAUUUAUGUAAAAAAAAA